Molecule: ribosomal RNA, 265 nt
Filed under: uncultured bacterium
Lineage: Bacteria
Description: partial 16S ribosomal RNA
Source: RNAcentral
CUGCUGCCUUCCGUAGGAGUUUGGUCCGUGUCUCAGUACCAAUGUGGGGGGUUGACCUCUCAGUCCCCCUAUGUAUCGUCGCCUUGGUGAGCCGUUACCUCACCAACUAGCUAAUACAACGCAUGUCCAUCUCUGACCACCUGAGUUUUCAGCCACCGAAGAUGCCUCCGGUGAUGUUAUGGGGUAUUAGUACCAAUUUCUCGAUGUUAUCCCCCUGUCAAAGGUAGGUUACAUACGCGUUACGCACCCGUCCGCCGGUCGCCGG